RNAcentral lists this ribosomal RNA (926 nucleotides) under uncultured Bacilli bacterium. Its description in RNAcentral is "SSU rRNA". It matches the Rfam family "Bacterial small subunit ribosomal RNA", at positions 8 to 916 of the family's 1533-position model. The record is from RNAcentral. Lineage: Bacteria; Bacillati; Bacillota; Bacilli.
AGAGUUUGAUCCUGGCUCAGGACGAACGCUGGCGGCGUGCCUAAUACAUGCAAGUCGAGCGAAUCUUUAGAAGCUUGCUCCUAAAGGUUAGCGGCGGACGGGUGAGUAACACGUGGGCAACCUGCCUGUAAGACUGGGAUAACUCCGGGAAACCGGAGCUAAUACCGGAUAAUCCUUUUCCUCUCAUGAGGGAAAGCUGAAAGACGGUUUCGGCUGUCACUUACAGAUGGGCCCGCGGCGCAUUAGCUAGUUGGUGAGGUAACGGCUCACCAAGGCGACGAUGCGUAGCCGACCUGAGAGGGUGAUCGGCCACACUGGGACUGAGACACGGCCCAGACUCCUACGGGAGGCAGCAGUAGGGAAUCUUCCGCAAUGGACGAAAGUCUGACGGAGCAACGCCGCGUGAACGAUGAAGGCCUUCGGGUCGUAAAGUUCUGUUGUUAGGGAAGAACAAGUACCGGAGUAACUGACGGUACCUUGACGGUACCUAACCAGAAAGCCACGGCUAACUACGUGCCAGCAGCCGCGGUAAUACGUAGGUGGCAAGCGUUGUCCGGAAUUAUUGGGCGUAAAGCGCGCGCAGGCGGUCCUUUAAGUCUGAUGUGAAAGCCCACGGCUCAACCGUGGAGGGUCAUUGGAAACUGGGGGACUUGAGUACAGAAGAGGAAAGUGGAAUUCCACGUGUAGCGGUGAAAUGCGUAGAGAUGUGGAGGAACACCAGUGGCGAAGGCGACUUUCUGGUCUGUAACUGACGCUGAGGCGCGAAAGCGUGGGGAGCAAACAGGAUUAGAUACCCUGGUAGUCCACGCCGUAAACGAUGAGUGCUAAGUGUUAGAGGGUUUCCGCCCUUUAGUGCUGCAGCUAACGCAUUAAGCACUCCGCCUGGGGAGUACGGCCGCAAGGCUGAAACUUAAAGGAAUUGACGG